GUGAAAUUGGUAGACACGCUGCUUCGGUUCGAGUCCGAGUAGCGGCA
RNAcentral lists this transfer RNA (47 nucleotides) under Apterosperma oblata. RNAcentral describes it as "tRNA-Leu". The record is from RNAcentral. Lineage: Eukaryota; Viridiplantae; Streptophyta; Magnoliopsida; Ericales; Theaceae.